GUGGAUUAGAUACCCUGGUAGUCCACGCCCUAAACGAUGUCGACUGGUUGUUGGGAGAUUUAUUCUCUUAGUAACGAAGCUAACGCGUGAAGUCGACCGCCUGGGGAGUACGGUCGCAAGAUUAAAACUCAAAGGAAUUGACGGGGGCCCGCACAAGCGGUGGAUGAUGUGGUUUAAUUCGAUGCAACGCGAAAAACCUUACCUACCCUUGACAUGUCCGAGAUCCCGAAGAGAUUUGGGAGUGCUCGAAAGAGAAUCGGAACACAGGUGCUGCACGGCCGUCGACAGCU
This 290-nucleotide ribosomal RNA is filed under the name uncultured bacterium. Its description in RNAcentral is "partial 16S ribosomal RNA". It matches the Rfam family "Bacterial small subunit ribosomal RNA", at positions 773 to 1060 of the family's 1533-position model. The record is from RNAcentral.